Molecule: ribosomal RNA, 532 nt
Filed under: uncultured bacterium
Lineage: Bacteria
Description: bacterial SSU rRNA
Rfam family: Bacterial small subunit ribosomal RNA
Source: RNAcentral
AAUAGAUACCCGGGUAGUCCACGCCGUAAACGAUGAGUGCUAAGUGUUAGAGGGUUUCCGCCCUUUAGUACUGCAGCUAACGCAUUAAGCACUCCGCCUGGGGGAGUACGGCCGCAAGGCUGAAACUCAAAGGAAUUGACGGGGGCCCGCACAAGCGGUGGAGCAUGUGGUUUAAUUCGAAGCAACGCGAAGAACCUUACCAGGUCUUGACAUCCUCUGCCAACCCUAGAGAUAGGGCGUUCCCCUUCGGGGGACAGAGUGACAGGUGGUGCAUGGUUGUCGUCAGCUCGUGUCGUGAGAUGUUGGGUUAAGUCCGCAACGAGCGCAACCCUUGAUCUUAGUUGCCAGCAUUCAGUUGGGCACUCUAAGGUGACUGCCGGUGACAAACCGGAGGAAGGUGGGGAUGACGUCAAAUCAUCAUGCCCCUUAUGACCUGGGCUACACACGUGCUACAAUGGAUGGUACAAAGAGCAGCGAACCCGCGAGGGUAAGCCAAUCUCAUAAAGCCAUUCUCAGUUCGGAUUGUAGGCUG